This 407-nucleotide ribosomal RNA is filed under the name uncultured bacterium. Its description in RNAcentral is "partial 16S ribosomal RNA". It matches the Rfam family "Bacterial small subunit ribosomal RNA", at positions 28 to 526 of the family's 1533-position model. The record is from RNAcentral.
GACGAACGCUGGCGGCGCGCUUAACACAUGCAAGUCGAGCGAAGCGGCGGAAGGGUGAGUAACACGUGAGUAAACUGCCUUAGACAUUGGGAUAGCAUCGGGAAACCGGGAUUAAUACCAAAUGGUCUAAGAUGGACUCGCGUCCCAUUAGCUAGUUGGUGAGGUAACGGCCAAACAAGGCGACGAUGGGUAGCCGGCCUGAGAGGGUGAACGGCCACAUUGGAACUGAGAAACGGUCCAAACUCUACGGGAUGCAGCAGUGGGGAAUAUUGCACAAUGGAGGGAACUCUGAUGCAGCGACGCCGCGUGAACGAAGAAGGCUUUCGAGUCGUAAAGUUCUUUUAUAUGGGAAGCGGUACCAGAAGAAAAAGCCCCGGCUAACUACGUGCCAGCCUCCGCGGUAAUUC